CUACGUGCCAGCAGCCGCGGUAAUACGUAUGUCACGAGCGUUAUCCGGAUUUAUUGGGCGUAAAGCGCGUCUAGGUGGUUAUAUAAGUCUGAUGUGAAAAUGCAGGGCUCAACUCUGUAUUGCGUUGGAAACUGUAUAACUAGAGUACUGGAGAGGUAAGCGGAACUACAAGUGUAGAGGUGAAAUUCGUAGAUAUUUGUAGGAAUGCCGAUGGGGAAGCCAGCUUACUGGACAGAUACUGACGCUGAAGCGCGAAAGCGUGGGUAGCAAACAGGAUUAGAUACCCUGGUAGUCCACGCCGUAAACGAUGAGCACUAGGUGUCGGGACAUGAGUCUCGGUGCCGCAGUUAACGCAAUAAGUGCUCCGCCUGGGGAGUACGCACGCAAGUGUAAAACUCAAAGGAAUUGACGGGGACCCGCACAAGCAGCGGAGCAUGUGGUUUAAUUCGAAGCAACGCGAAGAACCUUACCAAGACUUGACAUCCC
This 486-nucleotide ribosomal RNA is filed under the name uncultured bacterium. RNAcentral's name for it is "bacterial SSU rRNA". It matches the Rfam family "Bacterial small subunit ribosomal RNA", at positions 501 to 990 of the family's 1533-position model. The record is from RNAcentral.